UACGUAGGUGGCGAGCGUUGUCCGGAUUUACUGGGCGUAAAGGGCGUGCAGGCGGUCUGUUAAGUCUAGGGUGAAAGCUCCCGGCUCAACUGGGAGAGGUCCUUGGAUACUGGCGGACUUGAGGGAGGCAGAGGAGAAUGGAAUUCCCGGUGUAGUGGUGAUAUGCGUAGAUAUCGGGAGGAACACCAGUGGCGAAGGCGGUUCUCUGGGCCUUACCUGACGCUGAGACGCGAAAGCGUGGGGAGCGAACCGG
Molecule: ribosomal RNA, 253 nt
Filed under: uncultured bacterium
Lineage: Bacteria
Description: partial 16S ribosomal RNA
Rfam family: Bacterial small subunit ribosomal RNA
Source: RNAcentral